GAUGAAGAACGUAGCGAAAUGCGAUAAGUAGUGUGAAUUGCAGAAUUCAGCGAAUCAUCGAAUCUUUGAACGCACAUUGCGCCCUUCGGUUAUUCCCUAGGGCAUGCCUGUUCGAGCGUCAUUUCAACCUUCAAGCCUGGCUUGGUGUUGGGCGCUGUCCCGCCUCCGCGCGCGGACUCGCCCCAAAUGAAUUGGCAGUCGCACCCUCCGAGCCGCGAGCGCAGCACAAGUCGCGCGGGCGGAACUCUGGGGGGACGGACGCUCCACAAGACCCUUUCUCAGUCUUGACCUCGGAUCAGGUAGGGAUACCCGCUGAACUUAAGCAUAUCAAUAAGCGGAGGA
This 342-nucleotide unclassified non-coding RNA is filed under the name soil metagenome. Its description in RNAcentral is "partial contains 5.8S ribosomal RNA, internal transcribed spacer 2, and large subunit ribosomal RNA". The stretch from base 1 to 121 matches the Rfam family "5.8S ribosomal RNA", at positions 35 to 154 of the family's 154-position model. The record is from RNAcentral.